This 464-nucleotide ribosomal RNA is filed under the name Pseudocandona sp. 6 IK-2017. Its description in RNAcentral is "LSU rRNA". It matches the Rfam family "Eukaryotic large subunit ribosomal RNA", at positions 1553 to 1853 of the family's 3401-position model. Lineage: Eukaryota; Metazoa; Arthropoda; Ostracoda; Podocopida; Candonidae. The record is from RNAcentral.
AGGGCACUUACCUGCUUGUAAACCUAAUUAUACCUGUAUGCUGCGUUGGCUUAAGGGUACAUGUCUGGUGCACUUGCUGGUUUUGAGCCGAUGAUGAUGAAAUCAUGCAUUGCCAAAAUGGAACAGAGUGAUAGAGCUAGUGGAAGCAUAUUUUCGAGUGAGCCUGCAAGGAGUUUGGCGAAAGGGAAUCCGGUACUCAUUCCGGAACCUGGACAUGAGGAGUAGUGUUGCUUUAUGCUUCACAUAGCCGCAAGGCGUUUACCAUCCUGGAGAAUCCAACCAGAGAGCCGGGAAGAGUUGUCUUUUCUGCUUAAGGGGAAGAGGGCCUUGUGAACUGGGUCGGUCAGAGAUAGGGUCUUUUCCCCGAAUAGCACCGCGGUUCUUGCGGAGUCCAGCUCCUCUGGUAUGGAACUUGAAAAUCCAGGGGUAAGAUGAAAUACCUUCAUGCCAGUUCGUACCCAUAU